GAACACUGCGAUCAAGAGGAUUUUUGUAAAUAAUAACUAGAGUAUGAUUAGCAUGAUUAGUAUUAUAGCAUUUCUUAUGAGAUUUUAUUUGAAUUUGCAAUUACAAAAGUAGUUAGAUGUGCUUGCAAGCGAGGGUCCAAACACCUCUAACCCCCAUGAUAAUUUGUCUCGGGUCUUGGGACCUGAGCACUCUGGGAGGAUUCGUUGCAGGCCCAGACAUACAUUGAUGAGCUACUAAUCUGAGGCAAGCAUCUCCUCAUAUACUUUCGGGGUUGUC
RNAcentral lists this long non-coding RNA (277 nucleotides) under Elaeis guineensis (African oil palm). RNAcentral's name for it is "long non-coding RNA (EGUI_LNC074820)". The record is from RNAcentral. Lineage: Eukaryota; Viridiplantae; Streptophyta; Magnoliopsida; Arecales; Arecaceae.